AUACUAACCUGAUGCCGGAGUUUCGCUGGUCAAGACGGGCGAGCUCCCAGGGCGAGGCACGAGCAUUGCAGGGCGAGCUUUGCACUGCGCUCGUGUUGACCCCUGCCACUACCCCUAACAGGGGCGGAUGGGGCAAGUAAUUUUUGGUAGUGGGGGGACUGCGUGCGCGCUGUCCCCCC
This 179-nucleotide small nuclear RNA is filed under the name Haemaphysalis longicornis (longhorned tick). RNAcentral's name for it is "U1 spliceosomal RNA". It matches the Rfam family "U1 spliceosomal RNA". Rfam says of the family: U1 is a small nuclear RNA (snRNA) component of the spliceosome (involved in pre-mRNA splicing). Its 5' end forms complementary base pairs with the 5' splice junction, thus defining the 5' donor site of an intron. There are significant differences in sequence and secondary structure between metazoan and yeast U1 snRNAs, the latter being much longer (568 nucleotides as compared to 164 nucleotides in human). Lineage: Eukaryota; Metazoa; Arthropoda; Arachnida; Ixodida; Ixodidae. The record is from Rfam by way of RNAcentral.